RNAcentral lists this ribosomal RNA (524 nucleotides) under Phoma sp. JZ-119. RNAcentral describes it as "eukaryotic LSU rRNA". The stretch from base 148 to 301 matches the Rfam family "5.8S ribosomal RNA". The record is from RNAcentral. Lineage: Eukaryota; Fungi; Ascomycota; Dothideomycetes; Pleosporales; Didymellaceae.
GUGGGAUGCUAGAGUGUAGGCUUUGCCUGCUAUCUCUUACCCAUGUCUUUUGAGUACCUUCGUUUCCUCGGUGGGUUCGCCCGCCGAUUGGACAAAACUUAAACCCUUUGUAGUUGCAAUCAGCGUCUGAAAAAACUUAAUAGUUACAACUUUCAACAACGGAUCUCUUGGUUCUGGCAUCGAUGAAGAACGCAGCGAAAUGCGAUAAGUAGUGUGAAUUGCAGAAUUCAGUGAAUCAUCGAAUCUUUGAACGCACAUUGCGCCCCUUGGUAUUCCAUGGGGCAUGCCUGUUCGAGCGUCAUUUGUACCUUCAAGCUCUGCUUGGUGUUGGGUGUUUGUCUCGCCUUUGCGUGUAGACUCGCCUCAAAACAAUUGGCAGCCGGCGUAUUGAUUUCGGAGCGCAGUACAUCUCGCGCUUUGCACUCAUAACGACGACGUCCAAAAAGUACAUUUUUACACUCUUGACCUCGGAUCAGGUAGGGAUACCCGCUGAACUUAAGCAUAUCAAUAGGCGGGAGGAAGGA